GGGGCUGAUUCUGGAUUCGACGGGAUUUGCGAAACCCAAGGUGCAUGCCGAGGGGCGGUUGGCCUCGUAAAAAGCCGCAAAAAAAUAGUCGCAAACGACGAAAACUACGCUUUAGCAGCUUAAUAACCUGCUUAGAGCCCUCUCUCCCUAGCCUCCGCUCUUAGGACGGGGAUCAAGAGAGGUCAAACCCAAAAGAGAUCGCGCGGAUGCCCUGCCUAGGGUUGAAGCGUUAAAACGAAUCAGGCUAGUCUGGUAGUGGCGUGUCCGUCCGCAGGUGCCAGGCGAAUGUAAAGACAGACUAAGCAUGUAGUACCGAGGAUGUAGGAAUUUCGGACGCGGGUUCAACUCCCGCCAGCUCCACCA
Molecule: transfer-messenger RNA, 363 nt
Filed under: Salmonella enterica
Lineage: Bacteria; Pseudomonadati; Pseudomonadota; Gammaproteobacteria; Enterobacterales; Enterobacteriaceae
Also listed under: 1 other name
Rfam family: transfer-messenger RNA
About the family: Bacterial tmRNA, also known as 10Sa RNA or SsrA, is named for its dual tRNA and mRNA-like properties. Its role is to liberate the mRNA from a stalled ribosome.
Source: RNAcentral